Molecule: ribosomal RNA, 496 nt
Filed under: uncultured bacterium
Lineage: Bacteria
Description: partial 16S ribosomal RNA
Rfam family: Bacterial small subunit ribosomal RNA
Source: RNAcentral
GAUGAACGCUGGCGGCGUGCCUAAUACAUGCAAGUCGAGCGAACGGACGAGAAGCUUGCUUCUCUGAUGUUAGCGGCGGACGGGUGAGUAACACGUGGAUAACCUACCUAUAAGACUGGGAUAACUUCGGGAAACCGGAGCUAAACCGGAUAAUAUUUUGAACCGCAUGGUUCAAAAGUGAAAGACGGUCUUGCUGUCACUUAUAGAUGGAUCCGCGCUGCAUUAGCUAGUUGGUAAGGUAACGGCUUACCAAGGCAACGAUGCAUAGCCGACCUGAGAGGGUGAUCGGCCACACUGGAACUGAGACACGGUCCAGACUCCUACGGGAGGCAGCAGUAGGGAAUCUUCCGCAAUGGGCGAAAGCCUGACGGAGCAACGCCGCGUGAGUGAUGAAGGUCUUCGGAUCGUAAAACUCUGUUAUUAGGGAAGAACAUAUGUGUAAGUAACUGUGCACAUCUUGACGGUACCUAAUCAGAAAGCCACGGCUAACUACGUG